UAUGUUUCAUCGGGUGCAAUUGAAAAAACUCCAGCUUCACGUGGGGCAAUCUGAGCCACAGAUCCUCCUUUAUCUCCCACCUUCCCAUCAGGCUUUUACCAGGGGGGAUGCUUAUGGGCCAAGUGAUUAAGACUAGGAUGAAUGGCCCAGAGCUGAGUGGGGCAGAGAGAAACCCUCCACAGAGCCUAGGUCUACUUUUCUGAGUGAGUCACAUGUUUUCAGCAACUGGAUUGGGGGCUCAGGACUGGAAGUACCAUUCAAUUUUCUGUGAAAACCAAGCCCAAUUGAGUUGUCCUCUGGGCUCCAAGAGAAGCUUUGUUAUUCCAAGAGGACUGACCCAGGACCCCUAUUUUAUAUCUGGACAUCUUGGAGCCACCCAUGUGCUCUGGGGCACUUGCCAUCUAAAGACAAGCAAAUAAGCAUCAAGUCCCACUUCCCAGCCCUUGGGGUGGUUAACACUGGCUACCUGUUAUUAGGUGGCCUGGGCAAGGCCUCUCACACAGGCAGCAACCAGAGUAGAGUCUGUCCAGCCCUGAUUUGGAGUCUACAUUGACCUUGGCAUGACUCCCUGUUGCUCAUAACCAGAUCCACUGGAUGAACACCAGGUGGGGGAUCAGCAGCCACAUACCCCCAAACCACCUUAGAAUGCGUGAAACUCUGGGGCAUCCAGAAACUUCCCUUCCUCCCCAUCUAGAAACACCUGGAAACAUAAGAACACCUGACAUCACUAGUAAGAUGGUAAACAACCUCCUGCUCUGUAUUUAUGUUCAGUGGAAGUGACAAGGACACAUAGCCUUUCCCAAACACAAGUAAUCCCCAUGCAGAAGCUUCUGUAGCUGAAAAUGCAGCCUCUGCACACUGGCACCAAUUAAGUCUUGGAGACAGAGUUCUGAGGAAGAGAAAGGACAGUCUUUUGCUUUGCGAGAUAGAGGAGGACACAGCAGGCUCAGGCUAGUGCCUCAAAACUAUGUCUUUACUUGAGAGGAGAUAGAGCAAGGGGUUUUAUAUGUUUAGCUCAGAAGACAGGCUUAUUGAUUAAGGUUUCUAUAUUAUUCUUCAUCCAUAGAUAAUUUCAGAGUCGUCAGAACCAGCAUCAGUGGGUCUGGUGAUGGUUUCUGGUUGUCUUUGGGGUUAUUCUUCCUUGACCUUCUCUCUGGAAUGAAGACUGCUUACAGGAAAGGGAUGUUGGGAGUGUUUUAGUUACAAAAGGAAACACCAGGUGCAAUAUAACUCUAACUAGAAAGUAAAUAUCGGUAAUGAGUUAGUGGGCCAAGGCAGGACACAGUGGAGACUGUUUUAACUAAUUUUUAGCUGUAAACAUAUUUCUUAAUCAUUAACUCUUGAGUCAGCCUUUUGAGACUGAGGAGAGGCCUGGGAGGCUAAAGGAAAGGUCUCUUACUUCAAAAUACAAAGAUUUAGAGGAUGGUACAUGGUUUUACUUCCCCCUAACUGUACAACUUGAACUGAGGUACAGACUAAUUACCUUCAAUCUAUUGUUUUUAGCCUCAGCAUCCCCUCUUUCCAGCACUUUCACACUGGAGCUCAAGGUUGUGAUGGUCUUGCUAUCUUGAUUACAAUGACCUGUCUGUGACCUCCUACUUUGUUCCUCCUAUCAGCCCCUGAGGCUCCUCUUAGGAAUGUGGAGGGGUCUUCAAAGGACAGUCUGAAAUCCACUGCAGCUAAUCAAGAAUCUCCACCACUGAAGAAGCCACUUGAGAACCCAGUUUUUUCUUCAGGGGAGAAGGUGGGCCCUCAGGCACGAUCCUCAUUCAGUUCUAUUGGCCCCUCAGUGAAUCAAGACAAGGGUCCUGCUGAAAAGGGGCUGGGGCUGCAGUCCCAUCCCCUCCCCUGUUCCUCAAGCUAUGGACCCUGCCACAGGGCUUCCCGCAACUAGUGGCAGGGAAAAAUUUUUCCAGUUUGCCCCAAGGCAUACAGCAAGAGCUCUAGCUCCUCAUCUUCCAAGGUUUUUUUUUUUUUUUUUUUUUUUUUUUUUUUUUUUUUUUUUUUUUCCAUAUUCUGGAAGCUGCCUCCUUCUUUAAGAAUAAGAAAGCUCAAACUCAGCAAAAAGAAGUGAUGUCAGGAGCAACAGACAGGAAGAGCAUUACAGAGAGGGCUGAGGUCAGACAUGGAACAAGAUUCAAGUGCCUGCAUGAAUUGUACUUAUUGUUGGUUCUGAAGUAAAUGUCCAUUGGGCUUAUUUUGUUGACAUACCUCAUGCAAUAAAUGGGUUUUAUACAAGCGAAUGGAGAAAUUAAUUGAUCCCAAUAAAAGAACAGAUUCAUUUGAAGAGACUAGCCUGGUAGGAGACACACUUUCUUUCUCUGAAGCCCGUCCCAUCCCCACCGCUGCGAGGGCCUGCGGGGUUGCAGGAACGGGGUCAUGUGUGCCCCUGGACAGGCUCUCCUCGCCCAGCUGUCCUCCCCAACCACAUGCUCCUGAGCAGUGCUGUCCACUCACCAUACAGAGCAAGUCCUCCUACUCUACUGCAGGGAAUUAACAGGCAGAGGUGAAAAAAUGAUUCCACAGUGUUAAUUAAUCUUUAAUUAUGCCCCAUGUCAUUACCUCAGCAAAGACUCUUAUAAGGCCUGUCCAGCUAUCAGGGGGAAUGUCAGAGGGGAAGUGAAAGAACUUCUCCUCCACCCUGUCUGCAGCCACAUUCCAGGUUUGCAAAGUUUUCUCACCAGUCCAGUUAGGCAGGAAAAGACAUGCAGACCUCCCCCUCAAAGGUCCAUUGGCGUGGAGGCAGCAGGCUAAAGGGGACUUUGAAAGUGAUAAUUAAAAGGAAAAGUCUGCAAGCCUUUCAAGUUCUCUUGGGUCUAAGAGCCCUUUUGCUUUCCUCCAGCAUCUACAACUGCUACCAGGGCUUGGAACAACUCUCCGGGGGGCUGCUUUUUAUGCUCUUAUGCAGCAGUCCAGGCUGGCAGCUUAGCCAGGAAGGUAAGCUACUGUCUCAGGGAUGGUCUAAAUAUCCCAUGGAAGAAUCUCCUCCGUGUCCACCUACUGGGAGACCGGAAGGUGGGAUCUUCUCUAAAGUGGAGGGAUUUGACAAUAGGAGAGGGUGAGAAUUGAUCUAGCACAUCAAUAAUAAUUCUAUCAGGCCUUUGAAACAUCUUAUCCAGCCUCUGCGGUGGGGGUAGGGUAGGGGUGGGGAAGGGCUCACAACCUGAAAUCCGAUCACACAGCUUUGGUGCCUAUAUUAUUUUGCAGGGUAUCUUUUCAAUAAUCCAUUGAUUAAGCAAUUGCUUCAGAAAUAGAUGGGAAUCCUAGCUCUGUCCCUUGCAAGCUAUAUGAUCAUAAGCCCAGAAGCUAAUUUCUCUGAACCUUGGUCUCCUCAUCUGUAAAAUGGGGGUUAAGAAUAGUACUGAACCCUCAUAAUAUAAUACAAGAUCUUGAUAUAGGGCUUUAUAAUACAUUAAACAUGUUCCAUUAUUUAGCACAAAUGGUACUGAAAGGCAAACUGAGACUCAGAAAGAGCUGAAGCAACUUGACCAACGUAACAUGAAGAUUUUAAAGAGGCAGAGCUAGAAUCUAAACCCAGAUCACCCAGAUGUCAAAAACUAUGCUGGUUACCACCUCUGUGGUGCAUUCUGAAGACUGCAAGCCUGAUAAAGAAACUAGCAUGAGUAAUUCAGGAUGUGAGCUUCACAAGGGCAGAAGUGUUCUGCCAUGUGCACUGCUGGGUCCCCAGAGCACCUGCAGGAGCCCCUAACAAACUGAGGAUGCCUGCUUACUCUGUGUGUGUGUGUGUGCAAUUAUGUAAGAGAGAGGAAUUGGAGAGAAGGGAGGGGGAAAAGAGAGAAAAAAGGAGAGAGAGAAAGGAAGAGAAGAAAGGUAUUAUGGAUAGGAGAGAGAUAUGGAAGCAAACAAUCUCUGGAAAGGUGGAACUUAUGUAUUGCGGUUAUGAAAACAAAAAGUCAGGAGAAGCAGAUGUGGUGCUACGUGGAGGUCAGGAGCUGAAAUAAAUGCAGCCAACACUGCCACUGCUGGGAUACGGCCCUUAGGGGGAGUUUUAACCCAUGACAGGUCAGUUCAUGCUGAGCACGGUCUUGUUCUGUGCCAGAGGGGGCAAACUGCCAAGAACGCCCCAUGGAGGAAGGAAAAAACAGAAUACUCUUACUGACAUGAGAGCUUCAGAAACGUUAGUAAUCUGCCCCCCCCUUUUUUUGAUCUCUUUAGGGCCACACCUGUGACAUAUGAAUGUUCCCAGGCUAGGGGUCAAAUCAGAGCUAUAGCUGCCAGCUACAUUUACGACCCGAGCCACAUUUACGACCUAAACCAGAGCUCAGGGCAACACCGGACCCUUAACCCACUGAGCAAGGCCAGGGAUUGAACCCAUGUCCUCAUGGAUACUAGUCAGGUUCGUUACCACUGAUCCACGAUGGGAACUCUCAAUAAUGCCUAUUUGAAAGCUCUUUAAUGCUAUUUUGACACCAGCAUAAUAUUUAUCUAUCUACCUGUCUAUCUAUUUACCUUCAGUAUCAUAGAAUCAAAAGUUGAGGAGGAUCAUGGCAAAAUAAUCAAAGCAAGAACCAAAAGAGAAAUAUAUAAAGAUUAAAGAUUUCUAUAUGGCAAUCUAUACCAUAAAGGUAAAAAAAAAAAAUACACUGGAAAAAUUUGUGCAAGUUGUUUGAAAGACAAAGAUGGAACUAAUAUUCAGAAUGUGACUGGAGCACCUCUGAAUCAAUAAGAAAUAGACAACUUCUUAGAAACAUGUGAAGAGAAUAGCAACAGACAUUUCAGAGAAAAAUGCAGAAGUCCAAUAAAUAUUUGAAGAGAUUCCAAGCUCUCCAGAAUUUGGGGAAUUGUAUAGUCAAACUUUUCAAAAAAGAUUGAUAAUAGUGUAUUUGUUCUUACGUGGACAAAUAGACCUUUAAUAUACUGUUGGUUAGAAUAUAAGUGGGAAGCUUUUGUAGAAGGUAAUUUGGUAGUAUUCAUCAAAAUUAAAAAUGAACAGAUUCAGGCUUUAUCUCUUGAAAUACUUACAUAUUUGGAUAAAAAUAGGAUCCCAGGAGUUCCCGUCUUGGCUCAGUGGUUAAUGAACCUGACUAGUAACCAUAAAGAUGCAGGUUCUAUCCCUGACCUUGCUCAGUGGGUUAAGGAUCCUGCGUUACUGUAAGCUGUGCUGUAGGUC
RNAcentral lists this long non-coding RNA (5131 nucleotides) under Sus scrofa (pig). RNAcentral describes it as "lncRNA (ENSSSCG00000063191.1)". Lineage: Eukaryota; Metazoa; Chordata; Mammalia; Artiodactyla; Suidae. The record is from RNAcentral.